This 222-nucleotide long non-coding RNA is filed under the name Lathyrus oleraceus (garden pea). Its description in RNAcentral is "Pisum sativum (pea) long non-coding RNA (PSAT_LNC030640)". Lineage: Eukaryota; Viridiplantae; Streptophyta; Magnoliopsida; Fabales; Fabaceae. The record is from RNAcentral.
UGAUUUAUGGAUUAUCAUCUUAACAUUGACACCUCUACACAUAUCCGAGAUUUUUGAUAGUAGGUUUGGUUAGACAAUUUUUGAUCUGGGAAAUUUUUGAAACUUUCUUCCGCGCUCUAAACUUUUUCAAAACAAAUUCUGGUUCAAGUUUUAAACUUGUGAUAUACUCAUCCCUCUCUAGAUCUAGGCAUAUCAUCUAACUAGUGGUAUCAUGAGCUCUUG